RNAcentral lists this ribosomal RNA (258 nucleotides) under uncultured Glomus. RNAcentral's name for it is "partial 18S ribosomal RNA". It matches the Rfam family "Eukaryotic small subunit ribosomal RNA", at positions 624 to 886 of the family's 1831-position model. The record is from RNAcentral. Lineage: Eukaryota; Fungi; Glomeromycota; Glomeromycetes; Glomerales; Glomeraceae.
AAGCUCGUAGUUGAAUUUCGGGAUUAGUACGUCGGUCGUGCCUUAGGUACGUACUGGUGUUACUGGUUCCUACCUUCUGACGAACCAUCAUGUCAUUAAUUUGGUGUGGUGGGGAAUCAGGACUGUUACUUUGAAAAAACUUAGAGUGUUUAAAGCAGGCUCGCGCUUGAAUACAUUAGCAUGGAAUAAUGAAAUAGGACGUUGAUCCUAUUUUGUUGGUUUCUAGGAUUGACGUAAUGAUUAAUAGGGAUAGUUGGG